RNAcentral lists this ribosomal RNA (782 nucleotides) under uncultured bacterium. Its description in RNAcentral is "bacterial SSU rRNA". It matches the Rfam family "Bacterial small subunit ribosomal RNA", at positions 100 to 895 of the family's 1533-position model. The record is from RNAcentral.
GAACGGGUGAGUAACACGUGGGUGAUCUGCCCUGCACUUUGGGAUAAGCCUGGGAAACUGGGUCUAAUACCGAAUAGGACCACGCGCUUCAUGGUGUGUGGUGGAAAGCUUUUGCGGUGUGGGAUGGGCCCGCGGCCUAUCAGCUUGUUGGUGGGGUAAUGGCCUACCAAGGCGACGACGGGUAGCCGGCCUGAGAGGGUGACCGGCCACACUGGGACUGAGAUACGGCCCAGACUCCUACGGGAGGCAGCAGUGGGGAAUAUUGCACAAUGGGCGCAAGCCUGAUGCAGCGACGCCGCGUGAGGGAUGACGGCCUUCGGGUUGUAAACCUCUUUCAAUAGGGACGAAGCGCAAGUGACGGUACCUAUAGAAGAAGCACCGGCCAACUACGUGCCAGCAGCCGCGGUAAUACGUAGGGUGCGAGCGUUGUCCGGAAUUACUGGGCGUAAAGAGCUCGUAGGUGGUUUGUCGCGUUGUUCGUGAAAACUCACAGCUUAACUGUGGGCGUGCGGGCGAUACGGGCAGACUAGAGUACUGCAGGGGAGACUGGAAUUCCUGGUGUAGCGGUGGAAUGCGCAGAUAUCAGGAGGAACACCGGUGGCGAAGGCGGGUCUCUGGGCAGUAACUGACGCUGAGGAGCGAAAGCGUGGGGAGCGAACAGGAUUAGAUACCCUGGUAGUCCACGCCGUANACGGUGGGUACUAGGUGUGGGUUCCUUCCUUGGGAUCCGUGCCGUAGCUAACGCAUUAAGUACCCCGCCUGGGGAGUACGGCCGNCAGGCU